AACGAACGCUGGCGGCAUGCCUAACACAUGCAAGUCGAACGAGACCUUCGGGUCUAGUGCCGCACGGCUGCGUAACGCGUGGGAACCUGCCCUUAGGUUCGGAGUAACUCCCUGAAGGGGGUGAUAAUCCGGAAUAAUGUCCUAGGACCACAGAUUGAUGGCCUUUGGAUGGGCGCGCGUUGGAUUACCUUGUUGGUAGGGUAAAAGCCUACGAAGGCGACGAUCCAUAGCUGGGCAGGGAGGAUGAUCAGCCACACUGGGACUGGGACACGGCCCAGACUCCUACGGGAGGCAGCAGUGGGUAAUAUUGGACAGUGGGCGAAAGCCUGAACCAGCAAGGCCGCGUGAGUGAUGAAGGCCUGAGGGUUGUAAAGCUCUUUUACCCGGGAGGAUAUUGACAGUACCGGGAGAAUAAGCUCCGGCUAACUCCGUG
Molecule: ribosomal RNA, 433 nt
Filed under: uncultured bacterium
Lineage: Bacteria
Description: partial 16S ribosomal RNA
Rfam family: Bacterial small subunit ribosomal RNA
Source: RNAcentral